This is a non-coding RNA of Labrus bergylta (ballan wrasse), 2344 nucleotides long. The record is from RefSeq and is a predicted model, not a curated record. NCBI's taxonomy places the organism in Eukaryota, Metazoa, Chordata, Actinopteri, Labriformes, Labridae.
UUCACUUCCUGUUCAACUUACUUCCUUGUUACAUGCAACGAAGACUUGACUGAGCGCCCGUCUCUCCUUUUUAUUCGACAAAAUGAAGGGUAAAAUGUGUUUAUUUCUAACCCUGAUGAUAUCACCCUGUCUUGGAAGAAGCCUAGGUUGCCCUCAAAAAAUCAUAUCAUGCAAAGAGCUAAAGUCUGCGGAUGGUUUUAGUUACUCACAUGAGUGUUCAGAUGCAAAUAAAAUAUUUGUGGACCAAAACGAGACAAAGAUUGCUCGAUACAUGUCUGGACGUUAUGAGUAUUUGCAUCCAUGGAUGAAUCUUAACAAGACUUCAUUCUUCACCAAGAAUUGCACAGACCUGCGAAUAAAGUGCACAGUCCCUUCUGGACGGCAUGUAGAAGAUGUCUGCUUGUCGUAUAAAAUAUAUGAGAACCUACCAACUCCUGUUACCAACGAUUCAUCAGAGAACAUACCGCCAAGUGUUCCAAAGAUUUAAAACUAGGCCUCUUUAUUGGAUCAGUUGGGGUAGCGGCGUUCUUCUUGGCAGUGCUGUGUUGGCGCAAAAACGCAUGCCUAAAAAAGACCCUGUGGGCUCAGAUGGAUGGCAACCACCGCGCUGUCUUCAAGUAAGCAAACAUUCAGAAGCUACUGUGAGCACAGGUCAGUGAAAUUGAAUACAUGCUCGUCUUUUUUUCUCUGUGUCAUUAUAGGUUGAUGCAGCCUGUGAUUGGUCAACGUGCAGCUGAUCAAAAUGGGAGAAAUAGCACGCUUGAGAGCGUGCAAGUUCAAAGUAUUGAUUCUCAAGCUGAUGGAGAGACUCCUCAAACUCCUCAAACUCAAAGUCUGGACAACAUCUACAACAAUGGAACCCAGCUGCCAAAGUUGGAGGCAUAGAUGUCCCUGAUGGAGUCUCUGAACUGCGAUCCAUGCACAGGAACCUGAGAGAUGACCCAGGAGGAGUGACUGACGGCAAAGAGAAAGACAUUGAUGAGAACAGGGACAUGCAGAAUGGACGGCCUCUCGUUGAGCGUGGUCCUAAAGAAGAUGAGAAUGAGAGAAAGCCACUGAUACCAAGUCAGGGAGAUUCCAUCGCACGCUCUGACAUGACAGGUGAAGCUGCAGCUCUGGUGGACAAGAGCUGCCCCGACCCCGACCAGGAUGAUGACGUGAAGUCAGCAUCCAACAUGAAGAAAUUUGGAGUUCAUAAGUACUGAUUUAUAAUAAUAAUAAUAAUGAACACCUUCAGUAUACAUAAAGUGUUCUCACAGUCAGGGUAUGUGGUUAUUUUACUGACAGUCCUUUGGGAUAUGUAACAAUAACUAUGUUGACCACAAGCUGUCCUUACAAAGUUACAUUUUUAAAGACCCUUUAAUCAUGACUUUAUGAUUACAACAUAUUUUAUUCAUUAUGACACCCUGUGGUGUCUUUGUAUUGUGUCCAGAAUAUUCACUGAUACAUGAGCAGUCACACAGGCUGUCUGUUGACUGUGGUCAUCACAGUGAAUAUGAUUUAUUAUAUUUGGCCAAACUUUUUCAUUACCUGGACAAAACAAACAAACAAACAAACAAGUGCAUGGGAUGUUUGUCAUUGAGAUUAUGAAGGGCACAGCUCUACCAAAGUGAACCAGUCAGUAAAGACACCACAUACACAACUGUGAGGCUUAAUAUUACUAUAUAAUGUACAGUAUAAGGAAUGUUUGGUUAGAAAAUCAAAUGUUCCAUAUUAUAUAAUACCUGUUAUAUAUAUAAUACAGGUAGUAUGACAGGGGCGGCUGUGGCUCAGUGGUAGGUUGGGGGUUUGACCCCCAGCUUCUACGGCCACAUGUCGAUGUGUCCUUGGGCAAGACACUUAUCCCUCAAAGUGCUCCCGCUGCUGCGUCAGUGGCAUGUCUAUCAGAUUGAAUGGAUUAGUAAACUUUACAAAGCAGCCUCUGCCUUCUCUGUGUAAGCUGCUGUGUAAAAAGCGCUAGACAAGCGCAUGUCCAUUUAUCAAUAUAUGCAUUUAAAUGGAUCACAAAAUGUAAUGCAUUUUUGUUUUAUUGGAGUUUUAAACAUGUACCUUUAUAUGAUCCUCAUUAUUUUAGUAAGCGUGCCUUUACCCUAUUAUUUCCUGCUUAAUCUAGCAUCAUGUUUAUUCCUAUCUCCUGAUUCAUUCUCUCGUUUUGUAACCUACAUUAUAUCUUAUAUUAUAUCUUAAAUCAUAUUUUGACCAUGUGUUUUCUUUUGUUGUUGUAUUGCAUUUACUUUUAGAUUGGCAAAUUUGAUGAUCAUAACAUUUUCUGUAUGUUUGUAAGGAACUAUUGUUAUAUUUACAUGGAGUUGGAAAUAAAUUGUUCAUUCCACCCUAGAUUUUA